GUGCGUAACGCUGAUGAUGGGCUGGUGGCAGCGAGUUAUGUGCUGUCCCGACCUGAAAAGCUGGAUUGGCAACGACACCUGAUGUCCCAGCGGAGGGCUGCUGCUGUGCCGUCUGUACAGGAUUGAACCACACCUUUUUCUGGCACAUCCAUUCUGAAAUAUUUUGUUUUCUUUGUGGGGUUAUAUCAAACAUUUUUCUGGAACAUCCAUAGUCACUUAUAGUCACUAAAGCUGCACUGCAGCCUUAUGAGAGAUGCUCUUGCUAUUACUACAGCCUUCCUUCCUCUGAGAUCUCCACUGCAUCUUCC
This 308-nucleotide long non-coding RNA is filed under the name Gallus gallus (chicken). Lineage: Eukaryota; Metazoa; Chordata; Aves; Galliformes; Phasianidae. The record is from RNAcentral.